CACUUUCUAAAUCCGUGCCGAGAUUUUAUUGCACACCAAUCCACCAGAAUUGAUUAAACUUCCAUGAUAAGUAAAUUA
This 78-nucleotide microRNA precursor is filed under the name Schistosoma haematobium. RNAcentral describes it as "mir-3492 microRNA precursor family". It matches the Rfam family "mir-3492 microRNA precursor family". Lineage: Eukaryota; Metazoa; Platyhelminthes; Trematoda; Strigeidida; Schistosomatidae. The record is from Rfam by way of RNAcentral.